GACCAACUGAAAGUUUCUUCCAAACCAUGGAAAACUAGUAAAUUAUAUUAUGUUUUCUGUCAAGAAUUUCAAAAAAGAAACAAAUAAAAUAAAAUCUAUCUUCUAAAAAUUCUCUCUCAAGGGGGGUGACAUGAAUAUUCGGUUAAAAAAGGGAACUAACUGAAGUAUUUACAACAAUAUGCUUAAGAGGGUGAUCAACAUCACCCCCACCUGCA
This 215-nucleotide unclassified non-coding RNA is filed under the name Hevea brasiliensis (rubber tree). Lineage: Eukaryota; Viridiplantae; Streptophyta; Magnoliopsida; Malpighiales; Euphorbiaceae. The record is from RNAcentral.